AGUGAACGCUGGCGGUAGGCCUAACACAUGCAAGUCGAACGGCAGCACAGUAAGAGCUUGCUCUUACGGGUGGCGAGUGGCGGACGGGUGAGGAAUACAUCGGAAUCUACUUUUUCGUGGGGGAUAACGUAGGGAAACUUACGCUAAUACCGCAUACGACCUACGGGUGAAAGCAGGGGAUCUUCGGACCUUGCGCGAUUGAAUGAGCCGAUGUCGGAUUAGCUAGUUGGCGGGGUAAAGGCCCACCAAGGCGACGAUCCGUAGCUGGUCUGGGAGGAUGGUCAGCCACCAUGGAACUGAGACACGGUCCAGACUCCUACGGGAGGCAGCAGUGGGGGAUAUUGGACAAUGGGCGCAAGCCUGAUCCAGCCAUACCGCGUGGGUGAAGAAGGCCUUCGGGUUGUAAAGCCCUUUUGUUGGGAAAGAAAAGCAGCAGGUUAAUACCCCGCUGUUCUGACGGUACCCAAAGAAUAAGCACCGGCUAACUUCGUG
This 492-nucleotide ribosomal RNA is filed under the name uncultured bacterium. RNAcentral describes it as "partial 16S ribosomal RNA". It matches the Rfam family "Bacterial small subunit ribosomal RNA", at positions 29 to 507 of the family's 1533-position model. The record is from RNAcentral.